UUCCUCUCUGCCCCUUGCCCAAUCCACUCCUCUUCUGUGUCUGUUCAGAAAGGGACAGACUUACCAUGGGUAUCAACGAAGUAUGGCAUAUCAAGUUGUGAAAGCCAACUUUGAGAGUAAGAAAGUCCUUCCUGAAACAGAUUCCUACUUGUUUAUUUCAAGUAUUUUCCAAAAUGUCCUCUGAAACAGCACUUCUUGGUCUAGGCUGCUCUCCCAAUUCUAUGAUGUGAAAAAAAAUAAAAAGAGCAAACAGCCCAACAGUAAAAACAUGGCGCCCUUGAGAGCAGCUAGAAGCUACAUGCUGCGUAAACUCACCUCACUCAUUCAAAACUGAAAGUAGGCCAGGACUUGUGUAAUCCCAUCACUCAAGACCCAGAAACGAGUAGAUCUCUGAGAAUUCAAGGUUAGUUGCAUCUACAGAGGAAGUUCAAGGCUCAAUCAAGGUCAGUCAUGGCUGCAUAGUGAGACCAUCCUUCAAAACCAAGGCAACAGAAAACAACAACAACAAAAAUAUGGCUUUCUUGAAUCAUUCUCUGAACUGUACAUAUAUUGACGCCUUAAAGAGUUCCAACAUCUAA
This is a long non-coding RNA of Peromyscus eremicus (cactus mouse), 578 nucleotides long. RefSeq lists it as uncharacterized. The transcript is spliced from 3 exons. The record is from RefSeq and is a predicted model, not a curated record. NCBI's taxonomy places the organism in Eukaryota, Metazoa, Chordata, Mammalia, Rodentia, Cricetidae.